UACAGAGGUCUCAAGCGUUGUUCGGAUUCAUUGGGCGUAAAGGGUGCGUAGGCGGCGCGGUAAGUCGGGUGUGAAAUCUCGGGGCUUAACUCCGAAACUGCAUUCGAUACUGCCGUGCUUGAGGACUGGAGAGGAGACUGGAAUUUACGGUGUAGCGGUGAAAUGCGUAGAUAUCAAGAGGAACACCUGCGGCGAAGGCGGGUUGCUGGGCCGACACUGACGCUGAAGCGCGAAAGCUAGGGGAGCGAACGGG
RNAcentral lists this ribosomal RNA (253 nucleotides) under uncultured bacterium. Its description in RNAcentral is "partial 16S ribosomal RNA". It matches the Rfam family "Bacterial small subunit ribosomal RNA", at positions 524 to 776 of the family's 1533-position model. The record is from RNAcentral.